AUACGGAGGGCGCAAGCGUUGUUCGGAAUCAUUGGGCGUAAAGCGCGUGUAGGCGGCUUGGCAAGUCGGACGUGAAAGCCCGGGGCUCAACCCCGGAACGGCGCCCGAAACUGCCUGGCUAGAGUCCCGGAGAGGAGGGCGGAAUUCCCGGUGUAGAGGUGAAAUUCGUAGAUAUCGGGAGGAACACCAGCGGCGAAGGCGGCCCUCUGGACGGUGACUGACGCUGAGACGCGAAAGCGUGGGGAGCAAACAGGAUUAGAAACCCCAGUAGUCC
RNAcentral lists this ribosomal RNA (274 nucleotides) under uncultured bacterium. RNAcentral describes it as "partial 16S ribosomal RNA". It matches the Rfam family "Bacterial small subunit ribosomal RNA", at positions 523 to 796 of the family's 1533-position model. The record is from RNAcentral.